Molecule: ribosomal RNA, 2162 nt
Filed under: Escherichia coli
Lineage: Bacteria; Pseudomonadati; Pseudomonadota; Gammaproteobacteria; Enterobacterales; Enterobacteriaceae
Description: partial 23S ribosomal RNA
Rfam family: Bacterial large subunit ribosomal RNA
Source: RNAcentral
GGUUAAGCGACUAAGCGUACACGGUGGAUGCCCUGGCAGUCAGAGGCGAUGAAGGACGUGCUAAUCUGCGAUAAGCGUCGGUAAGGUGAUAUGAACCGUUAUAACCGGCGAUUUCCGAAUGGGGAAACCCAGUGUGUUUCGACACACUAUCAUUAACUGAAUCCAUAGGUUAAUGAGGCGAACCGGGGGAACUGAAACAUCUAAGUACCCCGAGGAAAAGAAAUCAACCGAGAUUCCCCCAGUAGCGGCGAGCGAACGGGGAGCAGCCCAGAGCCUGAAUCAGUGUGUGUGUUAGUGGAAGCGUCUGGAAAGGCGCGCGAUACAGGGUGACAGCCCCGUACACAAAAAUGCACAUACUGUGAGCUCGAUGAGUAGGGCGGGACACGUGGUAUCCUGUCUGAAUAUGGGGGGACCAUCCUCCAAGGCUAAAUACUCCUGACUGACCGAUAGUGAACCAGUACCGUGAGGGAAAGGCGAAAAGAACCCCGGCGAGGGGAGUGAAAAAGAACCUGAAACCGUGUACGUACAAGCAGUGGGAGCACGCUUAGGCGUGUGACUGCGUACCUUUUGUAUAAUGGGUCAGCGACUUAUAUUCUGUAGCAAGGUUAACCGAAUAGGGGAGCCGAAGGGAAACCGAGUCUUAACUGGGCGUUAAGUUGCAGGGUAUAGACCCGAAACCCGGUGAUCUAGCCAUGGGCAGGUUGAAGGUUGGGUAACACUAACUGGAGGACCGAACCGACUAAUGUUGAAAAAUUAGCGGAUGACUUGUGGCUGGGGGUGAAAGGCCAAUCAAACCGGGAGAUAGCUGGUUCUCCCCGAAAGCUAUUUAGGUAGCGCCUCGUGAAUUCAUCUCCGGGGGUAGAGCACUGUUUCGGCAAGGGGGUCAUCCCGACUUACCAACCCGAUGCAAACUGCGAAUACCGGAGAAUGUUAUCACGGGAGACACACGGCGGGUGCUAACGUCCGUCGUGAAGAGGGAAACAACCCAGACCGCCAGCUAAGGUCCCAAAGUCAUGGUUAAGUGGGAAACGAUGUGGGAAGGCCCAGACAGCCAGGAUGUUGGCUUAGAAGCAGCCAUCAUUUAAAGAAAGCGUAAUAGCUCACUGGUCGAGUCGGCCUGCGCGGAAGAUGUAACGGGGCUAAACCAUGCACCGAAGCUGCGGCAGCGACGCUUAUGCGUUGUUGGGUAGGGGAGCGUUCUGUAAGCCUGCGAAGGUGUGCUGUGAGGCAUGCUGGAGGUAUCAGAAGUGCGAAUGCUGACAUAAGUAACGAUAAAGCGGGUGAAAAGCCCGCUCGCCGGAAGACCAAGGGUUCCUGUCCAACGUUAAUCGGGGCAGGGUGAGUCGACCCCUAAGGCGAGGCCGAAAGGCGUAGUCGAUGGGAAACAGGUUAAUAUUCCUGUACUUGGUGUUACUGCGAAGGGGGGACGGAGAAGGCUAUGUUGGCCGGGCGACGGUUGUCCCGGUUUAAGCGUGUAGGCUGGUUUUCCAGGCAAAUCCGGAAAAUCAAGGCUGAGGCGUGAUGACGAGGCACUACGGUGCUGAAGCAACAAAUGCCCUGCUUCCAGGAAAAGCCUCUAAGCAUCAGGUAACAUCAAAUCGUACCCCAAACCGACACAGGUGGUCAGGUAGAGAAUACCAAGGCGCUUGAGAGAACUCGGGUGAAGGAACUAGGCAAAAUGGUGCCGUAACUUCGGGAGAAGGCACGCUGAUAUGUAGGUGAAGUCCCUCGCGGAUGGAGCUGAAAUCAGUCGAAGAUACCAGCUGGCUGCAACUGUUUAUUAAAAACACAGCACUGUGCAAACACGAAAGUGGACGUAUACGGUGUGACGCCUGCCCGGUGCCGGAAGGUUAAUUGAUGGGGUCAGCGCAAGCGAAGCUCUUGAUCGAAGCCCCGGUAAACGGCGGCCGUAACUAUAACGGUCCUAAGGUAGCGAAAUUCCUUGUCGGGUAAGUUCCGACCUGCACGAAUGGCGUAAUGAUGGCCAGGCUGUCUCCACCCGAGACUCAGUGAAAUUGAACUCGCUGUGAAGAUGCAGUGUACCCGCGGCAAGACGGAAAGACCCCGUGAACCUUUACUAUAGCUUGACACUGAACAUUGAGCCUUGAUGUGUAGGAUAGGUGGGAGGCUUUGAAGUGUGGACGCCAGUCUGCAUGGAGCCG